GGGUCAGUAGGUUGGUCGUGCCACCGGUACGUACUGGUCUCACUGAUUCCUCCUUCCUGAAGAACCGUAAUGCCAUUAAUUUGGUGUUGCGGGGAAACAGGACUGUUACUUUGAAAAAAUUAGAGUGUUUAAAGCAGGCUAACGCUUGAAUACAUUAGCAUGGAAUAAUGAAAUAGGACGUGCGGUUCUAUUUUGUUGGUUUCUAGAGUCGCCGUA
Molecule: ribosomal RNA, 216 nt
Filed under: uncultured fungus
Lineage: Eukaryota; Fungi
Description: partial small subunit ribosomal RNA
Rfam family: Eukaryotic small subunit ribosomal RNA (bases 40-216)
Source: RNAcentral